GGGGUAACCGGCCUACCAAGGCAAUGACGGGUAGCCGGUCUGAGAGGACGAUCGGCCACACUGGGACUGAGACACUGCCCAGACUCCUACGGGAGGCUGCAGUCGAGAAUCUUCCGCAAUGGGCGAAAGCCUGACGGAGCGACACCGCGUGCAGGAUGAAGGCCUUCGGGUUGUAAACUGCUGUCACGCCAUAGGAACCCGUUGGGGUUAAUAGCUCCAGCGCUGACCAAAGCGAGAGGAAGUGCCGGCUAACUCCGUGCCAGCAGCCGCGGUAAUACGGAGGGCGCAAACGUUGUUCGGAAUCACUGGGCAUAAAGAGCACGUAGGCUGUCCGCUAAGUCGGAUGUGAAAUCCCCCGGCUCAACCGGGGAAUUGCAUCCGAUACUGGCGGGCUAGAGGGCGGUAGGGGUAAGUGGAACUCCAGGUGGAACGGUGAAAUGUGUAGAUAUCUGGAGGAACACCGGUGGCGAAAGCGGCUUACUGGACCGUCUCUGACGCUGAGGUGCGAAAGCUAGGGUAGCGAACGGGAUUAGAUACCCCGGUAGUCCUA
Molecule: ribosomal RNA, 550 nt
Filed under: uncultured Actinomycetes bacterium
Lineage: Bacteria; Bacillati; Actinomycetota; Actinomycetes
Description: bacterial SSU rRNA
Rfam family: Bacterial small subunit ribosomal RNA
Source: RNAcentral